AAGACUUUUCAGAUCUCUACUGUGGUUGUGGACAGGUGUUUCAGUCUUUCUCUGUCUUUGACAGGUGGAGUAGGUGGACCAGCACCUUCUGGAGGUAGUGGGACUGGUGUCAGUCCCACUGACAGGGCUGGCUCUGGUGUCGGUCUUGGAGGUGAUAUUAGUGUUGGCGUUGAUGAAGGUAAACCCCUGAAACCUACAGGAGCAGGAACAGCUGGAUCUGUAACCAGUACUGCAGGAAGUGUUGGACUUGGCGCAGGAGUUAGCAGCGGAUUUCUUCCCAGUGCCAAGCCUUUGAAAUCACCAGGUACAAAAACAGAAACAAGAAUUAAUUUCUGGUUUCCUAUCCAAAUAUGUGUUGAUGUCAAAAAUGUUCCUUUCCCAGCUGCUGGAGGAGUCACUGGAGUUGAAGGAAUUGGUGGAGUUGGGGGAGUUGGAGGCACUGGACACUCACCUGGAGUGAGAGGCCUGCUGUCCGGUGGAGGUAUCCCAUCACUAUCCUGCCAUUUCUUAGCAUUUCUUCCCAUUCAUUUCUCCGUAUGUACAGUAUGUGUUUCUAAAUGUUUAGUAACUUCUACAACACAUGUAGUAUUUUCCUGCCAUUUUCUUAUAAUUAAAACUGAAAAUCAAACCCCCUCUUCUAUGUGA
This 645-nucleotide long non-coding RNA is filed under the name Scleropages formosus (Asian bonytongue). Its description in RNAcentral is "lncRNA (ENSSFOG00015027834.1)". Lineage: Eukaryota; Metazoa; Chordata; Actinopteri; Osteoglossiformes; Osteoglossidae. The record is from RNAcentral.